UUGCAUAUUCAAUAAGCGGAGGAAAAGAAACUAACAAGGAUUCCCCUAGUAACGGCGAGUGAACCGGGAAAAGCUCAAAUUUGAAAUCUGGCGUCCUCAGGGCGUCCGAGUUGUAAUCUAUAGAGGCGUUUUCCGUGCCGGACCGUGUCCAAGUCCCUUGGAACAGGGUAUCAAAGAGGGUGACAAUCCCGUACUUGACACGACUACCGGUGCUCUGUGAUACGUCUUCUACGAGUCGAGUUGUUUGGGAAUGCAGCUCAAAAUGGGUGGUGAGUUCCAUCUAAAGCUAAAUAUUGGCGAGAGACCGAUAGCGAACAAGUACCGUGAGGGAAAGAUGAAAAGCACUUUGGAAAGAGAGUUAAACAGUACGUGAAAUUGUUGAAAGGGAAACGAUUGAAGUCAGUCGUGACCGAGAGGCUCAGCCGGCUCUGCCGGUGUAUUCCCCUCGGUCGGGUCAACAUCAGUUUUGUCCGGUGGAUAAGCGCGGUAGGAAGGUGGCACCCACGGGUGUGUUAUAGCCUGCCGUCGCAAUCACUGGGUGAGACUGAGGAAUGCAGCUCGCCUUUAUGGCCGGGGUUCGCCCACGUCCGAGCUUAGGAUGUUGACAUAAUGGCUUUAAACGACCCGUCUUGAACACACGGACCCAA
Molecule: ribosomal RNA, 647 nt
Filed under: Papiliotrema laurentii
Lineage: Eukaryota; Fungi; Basidiomycota; Tremellomycetes; Tremellales; Rhynchogastremaceae
Description: eukaryotic LSU rRNA
Rfam family: Eukaryotic large subunit ribosomal RNA
Source: RNAcentral